This 293-nucleotide ribosomal RNA is filed under the name uncultured bacterium. RNAcentral describes it as "partial 16S ribosomal RNA". It matches the Rfam family "Bacterial small subunit ribosomal RNA", at positions 775 to 1067 of the family's 1533-position model. The record is from RNAcentral.
GGAUUAGAUACCCUGGUAGUCCACACCGUAAACGCUGUCUACUAGCUGUUUGUGUAUUUUAUACGUGAGUAGCGAAGCUAACGCGCUAAGUAGACCGCCUGGGGAGUACGGCCGCAAGGUUAAAACUCAAAUGAAUUGACGGGGGCCCGCACAAGCGGUGGAGCAUGUGGUUUAAUUCGAUGCAACGCGAAGAACCUUACCUACACUUGACAUGCUGAGAACUUUCCAGAGAUGGAUUGGUGCCUUCGGGAACUCAGACACAGGUGCUGCAUGGCUGUCGUCAGCUCGUGCCG